Molecule: non-coding RNA, 399 nt
Organism: Myodes glareolus (Bank vole)
Lineage: Eukaryota; Metazoa; Chordata; Mammalia; Rodentia; Cricetidae
Source: RefSeq, a predicted model, not a curated record
ACCUUAUGAAACUUGAAGAGGAAAGGACUUAUUUGGAGUACAAAUUAAAAUUCAUCAUCUAAGGAAGCUAGGGCACAACUCACUAUAGGAGCCUGAUGCAGACCUGUGAAGGGGAGCUGCAUACUGGCUUGCUUGUUCUGACUUGCAAACGUCUGGAGGUCAACUGACAAGUUUUCAGAAGACAUUCUUUCCUUCCUCCAAGUGGAUCCCAGGUACAUCUCACUUUUGUCUUCCUAUAAUGAAACUGAUCUCCGUGAACAACUGUCCAACAGAGAGCAAACCACCAUCCAGGAGCAGCUAUUCAGAAGUGGGUCUUUGAAGACAGAGUUUUACCUAUUUGCAGUAACUUCGACUUUAAAAAUGCAUUGAAAUGUGAUUCAGUAUGACAGUUGAUGGAAG